Molecule: ribosomal RNA, 418 nt
Filed under: uncultured bacterium
Lineage: Bacteria
Description: bacterial SSU rRNA
Rfam family: Bacterial small subunit ribosomal RNA
Source: RNAcentral
AUGUUGGUCAAUGGUCGAGAGCCUGAACCAGCCAAGUAGCGUGAAGGAUGACCGCCCUAUGGGUUGUAAACUUCUUUUAUAUGGGAAUAAAGGGUGCCACGUGUGGCAUUUUGUAUGUACCAUAUGAAUAAGGAUCGGCUAACUCCGUGCCAGCAGCCGCGGUAAUACGGAGGAUCCGAGCGUUAUCCGGAUUUAUUGGGUUUAAAGGGAGCGUAGGUGGACAUGUAAGUCAGUUGUGAAAGUUUGCGGCUCAACCGUAAAAUUGCAGUUGAUACUGCGUGUCUUGAGUACAGUAGAGGUGGGCGGAAUUCGUGGUGUAGCGGUGAAAUGCUUAGAUAUCACGAAGAACUCCGAUUGCGAAGGCAGCUCACCGGACUGCAACUGGCACUGAUGCUUGAAAGUGUGGGUAUCAAACAGG